RNAcentral lists this long non-coding RNA (1184 nucleotides) under Theobroma cacao (cacao). RNAcentral describes it as "long non-coding RNA (TCAC_LNC003755)". Lineage: Eukaryota; Viridiplantae; Streptophyta; Magnoliopsida; Malvales; Malvaceae. The record is from RNAcentral.
GGUGGUGAGCAUUCUGGCAAGAGUAAAGAGGUAGUAUCCGAGAAUUAAGAAUUAGAGUAUCCUGAAUUCGAUUCCCAUUACAGUGAGUAACCUUAUUAUCGUCUUAAUUAUCUAAAGUAUGUUUUUAUCUGAUUUUGUAAUUUUAUGGAAAAUGUGUUUAAAUGAAAUGAUUUUAUAAAUUGUUUUGAAAUUUAAUGAUGACUUGAAAAUAGAGUAAUUGGAGACUACUUGCUGUAUUGUAAAUUAUGUUCUGAAUUGAAUGGCUUAUGAUAAUGUGGGCAUGAAUGGUUGGAUGGGUAUUUGUGUUGAAAAUGCAUAAACUGUUGUUUGCCUUGAUAGGGUAGAUAAUGAUAAAAUUACCAUGUCAUGCUGUUGAAUUUUAUUGAAUUGGUGGGUUAUAGAUUGGUCACUACAGUGGCUGGUUCUGUGGACCAGCCUUUUUGAGGGGCACGAAAUUUAGGUAUAUUCUUACCUCGGUUGAGGAGGCGCAUAGGGUAACUCUUGAGGAAAAACUUUAGAGUUCACUUCACGCCAAACCACCAUGUGAGGGUGAACUCAACCAACGCCAAGGAACGACUAUGUUUUCAAAAUAAAAACAUGAUUUAUGUGUACAUAACUUUUUAAUAGCCUUGACGAACUCGAUUGGGAUAGCCCCAGGCCAAGGUAUCCUUGACAACUGAGUAUGAGAAUGAUUUUGGCACAAGCCAAGCUUUUCAGGAAAUCAUAAGCCUCGUUGUUUAUUUGGGUGAAAUGAAUCUAUUUUAUCUUAUUAAAAUAAGUUCGAAAUGCUGUGAAUCAUUUUUAUGCUAAUCUAUUUUAUCUGUCUCCAUUUACUCAGCUUUAGAUAUUUUAGAUGAUAUUUGUUUACUCACUAGGAUUAUAUAAUCUCACCACCCUCCUUUUCACCCAUUUCAGGCUCAAGAUAGUCGGUAGAUUGCUCAUUUCAUUGAGGGCUACAGUUGGACUUGCAUCCUCAAAAACUGUAGAUUCACAACCUUCAUUACUUUUAGUCAUUCGGGGCCCCACAUGUCAUUGUUAAAUGUUUUGAAUACCUGGAUGCGUGUGCUACUGUAUGUAAGAAUUUAUUUUACUUUUACGCUGUAAAAUUUAUUUACGUAAAGUUCUAUAAAAAUUGUUUUAUGAAAAAUUAGAAUAUUUUAUUCAUUAUUUUUAUUUUAUUUCAU